AGAAACCACAGUAACUGUGUACUUCGGGCAAAGUGCCUGGUCCUCAGGAACCCAGGACGUGACGGGGAAGGCAUCUGCAUGCAGGGAAACAUCCCAUUGUAAACCCUCGGGGCCUUCGAUACACAGCACUGAAAGGGCCUUAUCUGGACCCUCCUGCUCCCCCUGCACAUCACUGACAGAGUCUUCCAGUCCCAGGAAACCUUGGAACACACAAAAAGGCACGCUGCGUCCUUCCCUCACCCUUGCAGGGCCUCCCUGAGCUGCUCCACACUCUGGACCCAAUGGGAAACAGAAAACCCACAGGAAUGCCAACGACUCUCCUCCGUAGAAACGCCAGUGGUGCCCGUCACGUGCUGAUUGAACAUAGAACACAGCCAGGAGCGGU
RNAcentral lists this long non-coding RNA (385 nucleotides) under Homo sapiens (human). RNAcentral's name for it is "HSALNT0156483". Lineage: Eukaryota; Metazoa; Chordata; Mammalia; Primates; Hominidae. The record is from RNAcentral.